RNAcentral lists this ribosomal RNA (2897 nucleotides) under Escherichia coli. Its description in RNAcentral is "23S ribosomal RNA". It matches the Rfam family "Bacterial large subunit ribosomal RNA". Lineage: Bacteria; Pseudomonadati; Pseudomonadota; Gammaproteobacteria; Enterobacterales; Enterobacteriaceae. The record is from RNAcentral.
UUAAGCGACUAAGCGUACACGGUGGAUGCCCUGGCAGUCAGAGGCGAUGAAGGACGUGCUAAUCUGCGAUAAGCGUCGGUAAGGUGAUAUGAACCGUUAUAACCGGCGAUUUCCGAAUGGGGAAACCCAGUGUGAUUCGUCACACUAUCAUUAACUGAAUCCAUAGGUUAAUGAGGCGAACCGGGGGAACUGAAACAUCUAAGUACCCCGAGGAAAAGAAAUCAACCGAGAUUCCCCCAGUAGCGGCGAGCGAACGGGGAGGAGCCCAGAGCCUGAAUCAGUGUGUGUGUUAGUGGAAGCGUCUGGAAAGGCGCGCGAUACAGGGUGACAGCCCCGUACACAAAAAACACAUGCUGUGAGCUCGAUGAGUAGGGCGGGACACGUGGUAUCCUGUCUGAAUAUGGGGGACCAUCCUCCAAGGCUAAAUACUCCUGACUGACCGAUAGUGAACCAGUACCGUGAGGGAAAGGCGAAAAGAACCCCGGCGAGGGGAGUGAAAAGAACCUGAAACCGUGUACGUACAAGCAGUGGGAGCACGCUUAGGCGUGUGACUGCGUACCUUUGUAUAAUGGGUCAGCGACUUAUAUUCUGUAGCAAGGUUAACCGAAUAGGGGAGCCGAAGGGAAACCGAGUCUUAACUGGGCGUUAAGUUGCAGGGUAUAGACCCGAAACCCGGUGAUCUAGCCAUGGGCAGGUUGAAGGUUGGGUAACACUAACUGGAGGACCGAACCGACUAAUGUUGAAAAAUUAGCGGAUGACUUGUGGCUGGGGGUGAAAGGCCAAUCAAACCGGGAGAUAGCUGGUUCUCCCCGAAAGCUAUUUAGGUAGCGCCUCGUGAAUUCAUCUCCGGGGGUAGAGCACUGUUUCGGCAAGGGGGUCAUCCCGACUUACCAACCCGAUGCAAACUGCGAAUACCGGAGAAUGUUAUCACGGGAGACACACGGCGGGUGCUAACGUCCGUCGUGAAGAGGGAAACAACCCAGACCGCCAGCUAAGGUCCCAAAGUCAUGGUUAAGUGGGAAACGAUGUGGGAAGGCCCAGACAGCCAGGAUGUUGGCUUAGAAGCAGCCAUCAUUUAAAGAAAGCGUAAUAGCUCACUGGUCGAGUCGGCCUGCGCGGAAGAUGUAACGGGGCUAAACCAUGCACCGAAGCUGCGGCAGCGACGCUGAUGCGUUGUUGGGUAGGGGAGCGUUCUGUAAGCCUGCGAAGGUGUGCUGUGAGGCAUGCUGGAGGUAUCAGAAGUGCGAAUGCUGACAUAAGUAACGAUAAAGCGGGUGAAAAGCCCGCUCGCCGGAAGACCAAGGGUUCCUGUCCAACGUUAAUCGGGGCAGGGUGAGUCGACCCCUAAGGCGAGGCCGAAAGGCGUAGUCGAUGGGAAACAGGUUAAUAUUCCUGUACUUGGUGUUACUGCGAAGGGGGGACGGAGAAGGCUAUGUUGGCCGGGCGACGGUUGUCCCGGUUUAAGCGUGUAGGCUGGUUUUCCAGGCAAAUCCGGAAAAUCAAGGCUGAGGCGUGAUGACGAGGCACUACGGUGCUGAAGCAACAAAUGCCCUGCUUCCAGGAAAAGCCUCUAAGCAUCAGGUAACAUCAAAUCGUACCCCAAACCGACACAGGUGGUCAGGUAGAGAAUACCAAGGCGCUUGAGAGAACUCGGGUGAAGGAACUAGGCAAAAUGGUGCCGUAACUUCGGGAGAAGGCACGCUGAUAUGUAGGUGAAGCGACUUGCUCGUGGAGCUGAAAUCAGUCGAAGAUACCAGCUGGCUGCAACUGUUUAUUAAAAACACAGCACUGUGCAAACACGAAAGUGGACGUAUACGGUGUGACGCCUGCCCGGUGCCGGAAGGUUAAUUGAUGGGGUUAGCGCAAGCGAAGCUCUUGAUCGAAGCCCCGGUAAACGGCGGCCGUAACUAUAACGGUCCUAAGGUAGCGAAAUUCCUUGUCGGGUAAGUUCCGACCUGCACGAAUGGCGUAAUGAUGGCCAGGCUGUCUCCACCCGAGACUCAGUGAAAUUGAACUCGCUGUGAAGAUGCAGUGUACCCGCGGCAAGACGGAAAGACCCCGUGAACCUUUACUAUAGCUUGACACUGAACAUUGAGCCUUGAUGUGUAGGAUAGGUGGGAGGCUUUGAAGUGUGGACGCCAGUCUGCAUGGAGCCGACCUUGAAAUACCACCCUUUAAUGUUUGAUGUUCUAACGUGGACCCGUAAUCCGGGUUGCGGACAGUGUCUGGUGGGUAGUUUGACUGGGGCGGUCUCCUCCUAAAGAGUAACGGAGGAGCACGAAGGUUGGCUAAUCCUGGUCGGACAUCAGGAGGUUAGUGCAAUGGCAUAAGCCAGCUUGACUGCGAGCGUGACGGCGCGAGCAGGUGCGAAAGCAGGUCAUAGUGAUCCGGUGGUUCUGAAUGGAAGGGCCAUCGCUCAACGGAUAAAAGGUACUCCGGGGAUAACAGGCUGAUACCGCCCAAGAGUUCAUAUCGACGGCGGUGUUUGGCACCUCGAUGUCGGCUCAUCACAUCCUGGGGCUGAAGUAGGUCCCAAGGGUAUGGCUGUUCGCCAUUUAAAGUGGUACGCGAGCUGGGUUUAGAACGUCGUGAGACAGUUCGGUCCCUAUCUGCCGUGGGCGCUGGAGAACUGAGGGGGGCUGCUCCUAGUACGAGAGGACCGGAGUGGACGCAUCACUGGUGUUCGGGUUGUCAUGCCAAUGGCACUGCCCGGUAGCUAAAUGCGGAAGAGAUAAGUGCUGAAAGCAUCUAAGCACGAAACUUGCCCCGAGAUGAGUUCUCCCUGACUCCUUGAGAGUCCUGAAGGAACGUUGAAGACGACGACGUUGAUAGGCCGGGUGUGUAAGCGCAGCGAUGCGUUGAGCUAACCGGUACUAAUGAACCGUGAGGCUUAACCU